This 497-nucleotide ribosomal RNA is filed under the name uncultured bacterium. RNAcentral describes it as "partial 16S ribosomal RNA". It matches the Rfam family "Bacterial small subunit ribosomal RNA", at positions 28 to 507 of the family's 1533-position model. The record is from RNAcentral.
GAUGAACGCUGGCGGCGUGCCUAAUACAUGCAAGUCGAGCGAACAGACGAGGAGCUUGCUCCUCUGACGUUAGCGGCGGACGGGUGAGUAACACGUGGAUAACCUACCUAUAAGACUGGGAUAACUUCGGGAAACCGGAGCUAAUACCGGAUAAUAUAUUGAACCGCAUGGUUCAAUAGUGAAAGACGGUUUUGCUGUCACUUAUAGAUGGAUCCGCGCGGCAUUAGCUAGUUGGUAAGGUAACGGCUUACCAAGGCGACGAUGCGUAGCCGACCUUAGAGGGGGAUCGGCCACACUGGAACUGAGACACGGUCCAGACUCCUACGGGAGGCAGCAGUAGGGAAUCUUCCGCAAUGGGCGAAAGCCUGACGGAGCAACGCCGCGUGAGUGAUGAAGGUCUUCGGAUCGUAAAACUCUGUUAUUAGGGAAGAACAAAUGUGUAAGUAACUAUGCACGUCUUGACGGUACCUAAUCAGAAAGCCACGGCUAACUACGUG